This is a long non-coding RNA of Macaca mulatta (Rhesus monkey), 1763 nucleotides long. Lineage: Eukaryota; Metazoa; Chordata; Mammalia; Primates; Cercopithecidae. The record is from Ensembl.
CUUAGGCCAAAGGUUGUGAUAAUUUUAAUAAAACUCUGUAUGUAAUCCCAAAUUCCUUUCCCAAAAGGUCAUCACCUUUCAACUUCUACCAACAAAUGGUUAUGAGCGAAGGUUUAGCUUUUUGCUAUCAGAGAUUACUCUAACCAACAUAUGCCUGACUACCAGGAAGGAACUAAUAUCAAAGAAAUGGCUGAGCACAGAAGCCCCUUGCCCUAUGGGCAAUGUGAUAGAGUUGCAUGGAGAGGUUGGAACUUAGUCCCUGGCCAAAAGGGCAGGCAUGUCCCAGGUCCCGAAAACCUUCCUGUAGGCAGCUUCUUCACCAAGCAUUCUCUCCAUGAAGGAUUCUGUUGUGGAAAGCCAGCCCCUCCUCGGUCUGUUCAGGUAUGCCUGUGGAUUAUCCUCAGAUGAUUUUGACAUUAGCCUGCUGGCAGAAAUGUUUUGUGAGAGUCUAUUUCUAGUGGCAAGAUUACAGUUCCCAAAGCUAGAAAUUAGAUAUACAAUGUGGUGCAAAAUAAACCUCCACAUUCAGGACCUUGCACAGUCUCACUUUAGCUUGGGAGCCUGGGUAAAAACUGUCACCCACUUCACAUAAGCAGGGUCGGGACCAAAUGAGAGAGGUCACAGGGGAACGACAGAGAUGGGAAUUAUUCGGAGAGCAUGAAAACCAACCUCCUCAUGUGACAGAUGCAUAAACUGAGGCCUUGAAUUAGCAGUAGGUUCAAGAGUAGAAACGAAACCUCCUGAUUGCUCAUUUAAUGUUUCCCUUAACCCACGCAACUACCAAAAUCAUUCUGCUGAUCCAGGUAGGAAGAGGCACUUAUGAGAUCUGAUCUCUUGGAUGCUGUCUACAUAAUUGGCAUCUGGAAGUUUGCUUAGCCUUUCUUGGAAUGAUCGUUUUCAUGCCUACUGCCUCUUUUCUGACUGGGGCCAACUUUUGUGCUCAAGAAUCAUGCCACAGUACUAGUGCCAAGGGAUGCCUCUUCCUGUCCAGUGGUGAUGGGAGUACUAACACUGUAGUUAUCACUAUGAAAAUGUAAAAAAGACAGCCUUAUUGACCUGGUCUGUCAAAUGGGAAGUUGGCUCUUUUAGGGAGCUUUGGAGGAGGGAGAAAACCAGUUCUCUCUGUAUUUUAUCCUGUCUAUCAUCCUGAUAUCCAAGCUUGCAUUACAUUUCAGAGCAUGAUAAGUCCAUUUCCUCAUCCCUUGACAGAAGCCAGAAUAACAUUAAUCAGAUUGAUUCUUAUUCUCUCCUCUCUGUGUAGCCAUUAGACAUGUGUUCUGCUGGAGUCAGCCCAGUGUGGACUUAAUUAAUCCCCACCAGUUAUUGUAUAUUGCUUACCUUCUUACUGAUAUUUAGUUCUUGAAAAACUGACCAUGGGCAGGGAGCAGAAUGCAGAUGCAUGCCAAUGAGUCUGGAUGGUGUGGAGCAAGUCACGCUGAAGGCAUGGAGCCACAUCCCCAUCUGGUCUUCAUCCAUACAUACACAGCUUAUUUUUCCCUUUUACACUAGCAAGGGCAGGUGUUCAAAUGCCCAUAUUUGUGGUAAAAGAGUUGUGAUUCAUUGAGCCAUCUCAUUUAACAUCCCAAGCCUGAACUAUCUUUGAUUGGUUCAGAGAUUUGCCUGGGCCCAACUUCUUUCUUCUGUAAGGGAGAUCCAGGGAAAUGAUAUAAAGACAAAAAUCAGAGGCAUGAUAUGUACAAAUAAAAAGAAAUUCAAAGUAAGGAAGCUCCGUUCAGCCCAGGCGACCUGAGUAUUAAAAGGUG